Molecule: ribosomal RNA, 748 nt
Filed under: uncultured bacterium
Lineage: Bacteria
Description: bacterial SSU rRNA
Rfam family: Bacterial small subunit ribosomal RNA
Source: RNAcentral
CCGCAAGGGGCGAGUAGAGUGGCAAACGGGUGAGUAACGCGUGGGCGACCUACCUUCGAGUGGGGGAUAACCUUCCGAAAGGAGGGCUAAUACCGCAUGACAUCCCGUGUUUGGAUACACGGACAUCAAAGCUGGGGAUCGCAAGACCUGGCGCUUGAAGAGGGGCCUGCGUCCGAUUAGCUAGUUGGUGGGGUAACGGCCCACCAAGGCUUCGAUCGGUAUCCGGCCUGAGAGGGCGGACGGACACACUGGAACUGAGACACGGUCCAGACUCCUACGGGAGGCAGCAGUAGGGAAUUGUUCGCAAUGGGCGCAAGCCUGACGACGCAACGCCGCGUGGAGGAUGAAGACUUUCGGGUCGUAAACUCCUUUCGACCGAGAUGAAUAUUCACCGGCUUAAUACACCGGUGAACUGACAGUAUCGAGGGAAGAAGCCCCGGCUAACUCCGUGCCAGCAGCCGCGGUAAUACGGGGGGGGCAAGCGUUGUUCGGAAUUACUGGGCGUAAAGGGUUCGUAGGUGGCCCGCUAAGUCAGACGUGAAAUCCCUCAGCUCAACUGGGGAACUGCGUCUGAGACUGGUGGGCUUGAGUGCAGGAGAGGAACGCGGAAUUCCAGGUGUAGCGGUGAAAUGCGUAGAUAUCUGGAGGAACACCGGUGGCGAAGGCGGCGUUCUGGACUGUUACUGACACUGAGGAACGAAAGCCAGGGGAGCAAACGGGAUUAGAUACCCCGGUAGUCCUGGCCCUA